CCUCUGUUGAGGCUGUUCCUGCAUCCCCCCCCUUUUCUCCCUUAUUGUUACUAUUCCAAAGACCCAUACUGGUGAAAUCCAAGGCGGAGUUGGCAUUCCAAGGAAGAAACACGCCACGCGCAUACAAACAAAAUUGUUGCUGCUCAUCUCUCAUGCGUCACCAACGAAUCUACAGGCAAUAAAAACAGAUUCAAUGUGAACAUAAACUGGUGGCUCCAUGUAUAAGCUCCUCCAGCCUUUAAUAUUACUGUUGGUACCUUCAGAUGAGUGGAAGAAAUGCAGUGCUGGAUUGGGCCAAAGGCCCAUCUAGCCCAAGAUCCCGUUAUCACAAUGGCCAACCAGUUAAAUAUGGAAGCCCAGAAACAGGACAAAAGAACACAAAAUCUUCCUAGAUGCUGCCUUCGGAGGCACAGCACCGCCAACCUGCUGCUGAGCUACACUGGCUGCAGUGAAGUUUUCCUGGUUACACUGCUAUCAAACAGGAAGGAGAAGGCAAUUCUGCUGCACUGCCCAGGUUGUGGAGUUUUCUGCCGUCUGAAGAAUUACAGACAAGUACUCUGUUGAGUUUUUAGUACCUGCUUAAAAGCUUGUGGCCGACCACUGAGGAGAUAAUCUGGGUGGCUGCAAGUUACAGUAUAUGUUAUGCUUUUAUUCUGUGCUG
RNAcentral lists this long non-coding RNA (661 nucleotides) under Salvator merianae (Argentine black and white tegu). RNAcentral's name for it is "lncRNA (ENSSMRG00000004529.1)". Lineage: Eukaryota; Metazoa; Chordata; Lepidosauria; Squamata; Teiidae. The record is from RNAcentral.